This 745-nucleotide long non-coding RNA is filed under the name Anser cygnoides (Swan goose). Its description in RNAcentral is "lncRNA (ENSACDG00005007160.1)". Lineage: Eukaryota; Metazoa; Chordata; Aves; Anseriformes; Anatidae. The record is from RNAcentral.
UCCCCGCCCCCGCUGUCCCCAUCGCUGCCCGGGCUCUUCGCUUUUUUUUUCUUUCUUCCUUUUUUUGACGUCCCCGUGAUGUCCCCACGGCGAUUUCGGUCCCCACGACGUCCCCACGCCGCCCGCGACGGCCCCGUGACGCCCGUGGUACCCGCGACGUCCCCGUGUCCCCAAAUUGUCCCCGUGUCCCCCCACCCCGUGUUUUCAUGUCUCUGUGGCCCUACGUUGUCCCCGUGUCCCCAAUUUGUCCCCAUCUCCUCCGUGUCCCCGUGUCUUGGUGUCCCCUCGUUGUCCCCAUGGUGUCCCCGUGUCCCUCCCGUGUCUCGGUGUCCCCACAUUGUCCCCGUGUCCCCACCAUGCCUUGGUGUCCCCCUCGUCUCCACGUCUCACGUUGUCCCAAUGUCCCCACCUUGUCCCUGUGUCCCCGUGUCCUUCCCACAUCUUCGGCGCCCCCCCCCGGUGUCCCCGCGUCCCUCCCACGUCUUGGUGUCCCCACCUUGUCCCCGUGUCCCCUCGUUGUCCCCGUGUCCCCUCGUUGUCCCCACGUCUUGGUGUCCCCAUGUCCCUCCCACAUCUUGGCGCCCCCCCGGUGUCCCCGUGUCCCCCCCGGUGUCCCCGUGUCCCCACCUUGUCCCCGUGUCCCCGUGACCCCUCAUUGUCCCCACGUCUUGGUGUCCCCGUGUCCCUCCCACACCUCGGCGCCCCCCCCGGUGUCCCUGCGUCCCUCCCGCGUCUCGGUGUCCCC